Molecule: ribosomal RNA, 552 nt
Filed under: uncultured bacterium
Lineage: Bacteria
Description: bacterial SSU rRNA
Rfam family: Bacterial small subunit ribosomal RNA
Source: RNAcentral
UUACCUGGGCUCGAAAUGCUAUGGACCGGGGUGGAGACAUCCCUUCCCCGCAAGGGGCCGUAGUAUAGGUGCUGCAUGGCUGUCGUCAGCUCGUGUCGUGAGAUGUUGGGUUAAGUUCCGCAACGAGCGCAACCCUUAUCCCCAGUUGCCAUCAUUCAGUUGGGCACUCUGGUGAAACCGCCUCGGAUAACGGGGAGGAAGGUGGGGAUGACGUCAAGUCCUCAUGGCCUUUAUGUCCAGGGCUACACACGUGCUACAAUGGCCGGUACAAACCGUCGCAAACCCGCGAGGGGGAGCUAAUCGGAAAAAGCCGUCCUCAGUUCGGAUUGCAGUCUGCAACUCGACUGCAUGAAGCUGGAAUCGCUAGUAAUCGCCGAUCAGAAUGCCGCGGUGAAUACGUUCCCGGGCCUUGUACACACCGCCCGUCACAUCACGAAAGUGGGUUGCACUAGAAGUCGGUGAGCCAACCGCAAGGAGGCAGCCGCCCAAGGUGUAAUUCAUGAUUGGGGUGAAGUCGUAACAAGGUAGCCGUAGGAGAACCUGCGGCUGGAU